This 579-nucleotide non-coding RNA is filed under the name Pavetta lanceolata. Its description in RNAcentral is "transfer RNA-Leu". The stretch from base 26 to 503 matches the Rfam family "Group I catalytic intron". Rfam says of the family: Group I catalytic introns are large self-splicing ribozymes. The record is from RNAcentral. Lineage: Eukaryota; Viridiplantae; Streptophyta; Magnoliopsida; Gentianales; Rubiaceae.
GGGGAUAUGGCGAAAUCGGUAGACGCUACGGACUUAAUUGAAUUGAGCCUUGGUAUGGAAACCCACUAAGUGAUAACUUUCAAAUUCAGAGAAACCCUGGAAUUAAUAAAAAGGGGCAAUCCUGAGCCAAAUCCCGUUUUCCGAAACCAAAGGUUCAGAAAGUGAAAAGGGGAUAGGUGCAGAGACUCAACGGAAGCUGUUCUAACAAAUGGAGUUGGCUGCGUUAGUAGAGAAAUCUUUCCAUCUAAAAUUCCGAAAGGGUAAAGUGAAGGAUAAACGUAUAUAUACGUAUUGAAUACUAUAUCAAAUGAUUAAUGACGACUCGACUGAAUCUGUAUUUUUUAUAUGAAAACGGAAGAAUUGGUGUGAAUAGAUUCCACAUUGAAGAAAGAAUCGAAUAUUCAUUGAUCAAAUGAUUCACUCCAUAGUCUGAUAGAUCUUUUCAAGAAUUGAUUAAUCGGACGAGAAUAAAGAUAGAGUCCUGUUCUACAUGUCAAUGUCGGCAACAAUGAAAUUUAUAGUAAGAGGAAAAUCCGUCGACUUUAAAAAUCGUGAGGGUUCAAGUCCCUCUAUCCCCAA